Molecule: long non-coding RNA, 229 nt
Filed under: Homarus americanus (American lobster)
Lineage: Eukaryota; Metazoa; Arthropoda; Malacostraca; Decapoda; Nephropidae
Description: uncharacterized LOC121855033, transcript variant X6
Source: RNAcentral
UCUGGCUCCCUUAUGGCUGGUGAGGUGAAGCGAGAGCUGGAGAACUCCCUCUCUGCGUCACCUUCCCCAGCCAACUACACCAGCCUCUAUGAUAAGGAGAACUUCCCCACCCGUCGCUCACAAGCACUACACAAUAAGGGAGCCGCCGUCACUGGCAAGUUAGAAGUAAGAUUGAUUGGUGUUCAAGACCUCUGGAGGACGCUCCUGGCCGUUCCUCGCCGAGAUACAC